Clupea harengus (Atlantic herring) is the source of this 296-nucleotide long non-coding RNA. RefSeq lists it as uncharacterized. NCBI's taxonomy places the organism in Eukaryota, Metazoa, Chordata, Actinopteri, Clupeiformes, Clupeidae. The record is from RefSeq and is a predicted model, not a curated record.
UAAAAUGUCAAAACAAGCAUAUCUGAUGGCACUCUUUUUUUUCACAGCCAUGAGACAUACAGAAGCUGACAACUUGAACUUAUUUUGUAUUUUAUGAUGUCGCCAUCUACUGGCCACUGGUAUGGAGGUGAUGCGCUCACAGACAGAAGCAGAGCUGCAGAUGUUCAAACAGAAUGAGAAAGCCUAUCAGAGCGUGUGGAAGGCAGCGCUGUUCGGAAAGCCACUGGCUGAGCCAAUCAAGGAGCAAGUCAAGGAGCUCGUCCAGGGUGCCAAAUAGGCCCUCACACACACACACA